Molecule: long non-coding RNA, 991 nt
Organism: Scatophagus argus
Lineage: Eukaryota; Metazoa; Chordata; Actinopteri; Scatophagidae
Exons: 7
Source: RefSeq, a predicted model, not a curated record
UUUCCUGUCUUUGUCUGUUUUCCCUCCUUUUCUUGAUAGUUUGCCCUGCCCUGACAGUUUUCUCCUGCGUCCAGUCCCCGUGCUCCGUUCUUGGUGUCGGAGGUGGCGUUGUUGGUGAACUGCAUCUGCACGGCCACCAUGUUGGCAUCGGGGCUGAACGGCUGCCGGCUGAAGCAGUACUCCACCGACAGACCCUCCCCUGUGAUCCGGUGCAGCAGCUCGAAGCUCUUCAGGGCGCUGGAAGGAGCAAUGGUCUGCAGGUGGAGGACAAGACAGUAAAGCUCACCUGUGGCUCCUCAGGAGACGGACCAGAGCCUUGGCAAUCACUCCAACCUCCGCUUUAGGGGCAAGAUGGAAAUACAGCUGAGCCACAGCCAUCACCACCUGGAGUGAGAAGGGAGAGACAUGAUGAAUGAAAGAUGGGUGUGGAGCUUCAGAAGGAAGAAUCGGACACAGACUGAAUAAUCAGCAGAUGACUGCACAUCUUUCCACAAGGGACUGAAGGUCUGUGGUGCUGAGCUGAAACACUGAGAUGUGCUGCUGCAGGGACUGCAGGACCCGACUCACGCCACUCAGACGGCCACCCAACAGGUGUUGCAAGGUGGAUACAAUGCAAUCCAGGCAAUGGAAGACCUCUUAUAUUCAUACUUUGUUCUACUACAUGCAGUGAAUACCACACACUGAAACCAACGCUCCCGCCACAUCCAGCUGAGCAGCGGACGGAGGCUUCGUCGUCUGUGAGGAGGUGGCCGCUGCAGAACACGGUUGAUGUAUCACGACUCCACCGCCGGUCUGUAAGUGUGUGUGUGUGUGUGUGUGCGCACUAAGAAGGAUGUCUGCUUUCGUCUACAUCACUCAUCAAAGUGUUAAUAAUUUCCUUGCGUGAAUAAUAUAGCGCAUACACUUCAAGACCUAAAUUCAUCAAAGAGUGUCGAAUUAAAACCUGACAGUAUCUAUAAAAUGCUAUUUGUGACGGAUUAUUUUUGGAUGC